Bos taurus (domestic cattle) is the source of this 4196-nucleotide long non-coding RNA. The record is from Ensembl. NCBI's taxonomy places the organism in Eukaryota, Metazoa, Chordata, Mammalia, Artiodactyla, Bovidae.
GGGGAAGGAGUUCAGUCUGUUAGGGGGUUGCUGUGCAUCUUCUUCCUGGAGAGAUGAGAGCAGCUGCAAGGGAGGGGUUAAGGAAUGUCUCAGGGUGUGGGGGUCCUCAGCUUGGCUUCUGGCCUAGCUUCCUGCAGAACAACUCUUUGUCCUUGGAGGAGGGGAGCUGUAACGCAAGAUUUAAUCUAACAGAGUGGUUGCGUUAGUUUGGAGUAGAUGAGCAGCAGCUGCUGGGUAUUUUGCCUUUACAAGAGCCCAGUAAUAAGCCCAGAGCUGAUUCUUAUUAGUUCUUAUUAGUGAAAGAUGGAGGCAGGAUGGUCAGAGAGAUUUGAAGAUGCUUUACCACUGGUUUUUAAGAUGGAGGAAAGGCCUUGAGCCAAAGAACGCUGGCAGCUUCUAGAAGCUGGAGAAGAUAAGCAAACACAUUUCCCUUUGGUUUCCGGAAGAAAUACAGUCUUGCCAACACCUUGAUUUUAGCUGGUGAGAUCCAUCUUGAACAUCUGAUUAUACUGAUAAAGCUGGUAGGAACAGUCAUGUAUAAGCUAAUACUUUGGCCACAACUCAUUGGAAAAGACCCUGAUGCUGGGAAAGAUUGAAGGCAAAGGGAGAAUGGGGCCACAGAGGAUGAGAAGAUUACAGAGCAUCACUGACUGACUUGACAUGAAUUUGAGCAAACUGAGAGAUUGUGGAAGACAGAGGAGCCUGGUGUACUGCAGUCCAUGGGGUCACAAAGACUCAGGCAUGACUUAGUGACUGAACAAUGAAAUUCUUAGAUUUUUCUUGGGCUGGAUCAUAUAGUGCAUGUACAUUUGACUUUCUAAGGUGGAGUUUUCCAGAGUGAUUGAAUCAUUUUACCUUCCAAAUGUAGUGUGUAAGAGUUCUGGUUCUUCUACAUUCUUGCCGAUGAUUGAUUGGUAGGUCUAUCUCUUUAAGUUUUGGUUACUCUAAUAAAUGUAUAGGGACAUUUCCUAUGGUGUUAAUUUGCAUUUCCCUUAGGACUAAUAAUGUUGAACAUAUUUUUGUGUAUUUAUUUGCCACUUCACUAAAGUGUCCAGCCACAUCUUUUGCCCAUUUUUUUAUUAGGCUGUUUGUUUUCUUAGUGUUAAGUUUUGAGUGUUCUUUACAUAGACUGUGGUGUUGAAGAAGACUCUUGAGAGUCCCUUGGACUGCAAGGAGAUCCAAUCAGUCUAUCCUAAAGGAAAUCAGUCCUGAAUAUUCACUGGAAGGACUGAAGCUGAAGCUGAAAUGCUAAUAUUUUGGUCACCUGAUGCAAAAAACUAACUCAUUUGAAAAGUCCCUGAUGCUGGGAAAGAUUGAAGGCAGGAGGAGAAGGGGAUGACAGAGGAUGAGAUGGCUGAAUGACACACUGAUUCAAUGGACAUGAGUUUGAGUAAACUCCAGGAGUUGGUGGUGGACAGGGAGGCCUGGUGUGCUGCAGUCCAUGGGUUCACAAAGAGUCAGACACGACUGAGCAACUGAACUUACAGCCUGGAUACAUGUCCUUUAGAAGAUAUAUGCUUUGCAAAGAUUUUCUCAUUAUCUGUGUCUUAUUUCUGUCUCUAUUGAAUGCCAGAAGUUCUAAAUUUUGAUGAAGGUCAAUUUAUCAGUUUGUCUUUGUAUGGACUAUGCUUUUGAUAUAUCUAAAUAAUCUUUGAGGGUCACAAAUUUUUCUUUUAUUUUUUUAUUCUAUAAGUUUUAUUUUAGGUUUUAAAUUUUAUUCUAUCAUUCAAUUUGAGUUAUUAGUUAUGUACAGUGUGAGGUAGGGAUCAAAAUUUGCUGUUUUACAUAUAAACGUCCAAUUGUUCCAUCACAGGGUGUUGAAAAGAGUAGACUUUUUUCACUGACUUGACUUUGAACUUCUGUCAAAAAUCAGUUGUGUGUGUGUGUAUAUAUUUGAACUGUUUCACUCCAUUGAUCUAUUUCACUAUUCUGAUGCCAGUACCACAAGAUCUGGGUUACUUUAGCUUUAUAAUAAGUCUACAAGUCAGGUAGUGUAAGACCUCAAGCUUCAUUGUUUUCAACGAUGUGCUAGCAUAUUAUAUUUGCAUUCUAUAUAAAUUUUGGAAUCACCUUGUCAAUAUCUAAAGUAUCUUCUGGGAUUGAGAUUUUGAUUGGGACUAUAUUGAAACUAUAGCUCAGUUUGGGGAGAACUGACAUUUUUAGCAACAUUGAGUCUUCUGACUCAUGAACAUGGUGUAUCUAUCCACUCAUUUAGACUUCCUUUAACUUUUUUUUACUUUGUUUAAUCUCAGAAGUGUUCUGUAGUUUUCACUGUAUAGGCCUCACAUCUUUUGUCAAAUUUAAAUCUUUGUAUUUCACAUUUUUUGAUGAUGUUGCAAAUUGUAUUUCUUUUUAAAUUUCAACUUUGGAUUCUUUGUUGCUAGUACAUAGAAAUAUAAUUGAUUUUUGUACUGAUCUUUUAUCCUGCAACCUUGCUAACUAAAUUAUUAGUUCUAGUAGCUUUUUUCAGAGUCCUUCAGGUUUUCAGUAUAGACUAUCAUGUUGUCUCUGAAUAAAGACAGUGUUACCUCUUCCUUUUCAAUCUAGAUUUUAAAAAUUUCCUUUUCUUAUUGCGCUGGCAAGAACCUCCACCACACUGCUGAAUAGAAGUGGUAGAACUGGCCAUCAAUGUUUCUGCUGUUACAGCCUUUUUCCUUUGAGAAGUCCCUGCUGAGGUUGGGGGCAUGGGUGUCUAUUCAAGCCUGCCUGAACUUGCUUUGCAGCCAUUCUUCUCUAAGAUCUUAUUACCAUCUGGUGGGUGCUGCUUGGAUGCAGAAGCCAAAUUCCCUAUAUUCUUGGCUUUUCAGAUCUCACUGUUCUCUCUCUCCCCAUCCCCAUCCUCUCUCUUCUCUAUGAUAGUCUGUCUGUACUGUGAAUCACUGUCUCCUACUCUUUCACUUCCUGUAAAUUCUGGAAAAACACAGUCAUAUCCUUGAAUGGAAUCUCCAAUGUUUGGCCAGAUACCUUUACUGAAGCAAUGUAGACAAAUGGACCUGCUGAGAAAGGCGGACAAUACAGUGAGAGCAGAAGUGAGUUAAUGUCAUCCCUUCUUUUCCUUUUUUUCCCCUCUUUCCCUUUCUCCCUUUCCUCCAUCUUUCACUCUCUCCCUCCAUCCAUCCCUCCCUUCCUUUCUUCUUUCUAUUCAACCAGCAAUUCUGAGCACCUCCUGUCAGGUACAGCCAACCUCCUUAGCUUUAAUCCUCUGCAGUAGUGGGCAAAUGCUCCUGCAUAUGGACAACAGCAGAGUGAUUCACAAAUCCAAAAACGGAGUUGGGUUCUCUGAUUUUUCUAACAGCUUCAGUGACUCUCAGAUAAUAAGCACAAUUUACAUUCAUUCUAACUUGAUAACUUUUCACUGUUUUAUUAUUAUCUAUUUCUUCCCAACGAAUUAUCCUGGAGCUUAGCAACUCAGAAAAGACUUAUUAUCUCCUAUAAGGGAUCCAGGGAUCCAGUUGCAGUUUAGCUGGGUCCUCUGCUUCAGAAUCUCUCAUGAUCUGCCAUUAACCGUGUUAGCCUGGGCUACGGUUCUGUCAAGGCUCUGCUGGGGAAGAAUCUGCUUCUGAGUCCAGUCAUGUGGUUCUUUGCCUGAUUCAGGUCCUCACAGGCUGUCCCUUGCCAUAUGGCCCUUUCUAUAGCACAGAUCACAACAUGGCAGUUGGCAUCACCAGAAUGAGCAAACGAGAUAAACUAGCAAGAUGCCAGUGAGUGGAAAUUGUAAUCUUUUAUAACCUUAUCUCAAAAGUGCUAUUCUAUAUUCUCUUCAUUAGAAGUGAGCCACUUGGUCCAACUUGUGCUCAAGGAGAAGAGAUUAUCUAAUGGUGUAAAUACCAGGAGGUGAGACCAGUGGAACCAUCCCUACCAUAACUAUACUUUGAAUGGAGGCCAAUAUCUCAAGAAAUUGAGGUCAAUUGGCAGUUCCUUUUUGUUUGGUGAAGGGGAAGGAGCCAAGAUUUAUACGCAUCUACCUUGUGUCAAGCCCAUUGUUGAAUGAUCUUAUGUGCCUUACUUAUUUCACUCCCACAUCUUUCCUGUGAUAUAUUUGUGGCAGAUGUAUUGAGGCUUUCCCUCAAUAUUCAUUCUUCCAUUCUUUCCUGUUGUUGUUCCCUCGCUAAAUCAUGUCUAACUCUUUGCAACCCCAUGGACUGCAAAAUUUCUGAUGGUUGCCCAGGUGAAGACUACAUUUCCCACUCAUUUUC